CAGAUUGGGUUAACGGGCGUGGCCGAAGGGAAGGAAAGGAGCUUGGGAAACGCAAAGAAGCAGGACUGAGGGGAGAGUAGAUCUGAAGGCAGGCGCCGAAUUUGAGAAGGUGUAGAAGGCUGGUGGGACGUGAAAGGGCUUGUGUACGGUGGCAGGGGCAUUGGAAAUAUCCUAUACUAUGGAUCCACAAUGGCUGUAGCAACCUGCCUAUUCCUCAAAAAGAAUAUGUUCAAUGAAUGCAGGAAGGCUGAAAGAGUAACGGGGACAAAGCCUAGGACUUGGCCUGUGACUCACCCUCCCUUGAUGUAAUCAACGAAAGUGAAUUCAGAGUCCACAGAGAAGGAGAGCAGCGUCAC
Suricata suricatta (meerkat) is the source of this 356-nucleotide long non-coding RNA. RefSeq lists it as uncharacterized. The transcript has 3 exons. The record is from RefSeq and is a predicted model, not a curated record. NCBI's taxonomy places the organism in Eukaryota, Metazoa, Chordata, Mammalia, Carnivora, Herpestidae.